Molecule: ribosomal RNA, 454 nt
Filed under: uncultured bacterium
Lineage: Bacteria
Description: partial 16S ribosomal RNA
Rfam family: Bacterial small subunit ribosomal RNA
Source: RNAcentral
GAUGAACGCUGACAGAAUGCUUAACACAUGCAAGUCAACUUGAACUUCGGUUUGGGUGGCGGACGGGUGAGUAACGCGUAAAGAACUUGCCUCACAGCUAGGGACAACAUUUGGAAACGAAUGCUAAUACCUGAUAUUAUGAUUUUAGGGCAUCCUAGAAUUAUGAAAGCUAUAUGCGCUGUGAGAGAGCUUUGCGUCCCAUUAGCUAGUUGGAGAGGUAACGGCUCACCAAGGCGAUGAUAGGUAGCCGGCCUGAGAGGGUGAACGGCCACAAGGGGACUGAGACACGGCCCUUACUCCUACGGGAGGCAGCAGUGGGGAAUAUUGGACAAUGGACCAAGAGUCUGAUCCAGCAAUUCUGUGUGCACGAUGAAGUUUUUCGGAAUGUAAAGUGCUUUCAGUUGGGAAGAAAAAAAUGACGGUACCAACAGAAGAAGUGACGGCUAAAUACGUG